GACGAACGCUGGCGGCGCGCCUAACACAUGCAAGUCGAACGAGCGAGAGAGAGCUUGCUUUCUCGAGCGAGUGGCGAACGGGUGAGUAACGCGUGAGGAACCUGCCUCAAAGAGGGGGACAACAGUUGGAAACGACUGCUAAUACCGCAUAAGCCCACAGCUCGGCAUCGAGCAGAGGGAAAAGGAGCAAUCCGCUUUGAGAUGGCCUCGCGUCCGAUUAGCUAGUUGGUGAGGUAACGGCCCACCAAGGCGACGAUCGGUAGCCGGACUGAGAGGUUGAACGGCCACAUUGGGACUGAGACACGGCCCAGACUCCUACGGGAGGCAGCAGUGGGGAAUAUUGCACAAUGGGGGAAACCCUGAUGCAGCGACGCCGCGUGGAGGAAGAAGGUCUUCGGAUUGUAAACUCCUGUUGUUGAGGAAGAUAAUGACGGUACUCAACAAGGAAGUGACGGCUAACUACGUGCCAGCAGCCGCGGUAAAACGUAGGUCACAAGCGUUGUCCGGAAUUACUGGGUGUAAAGGGAGCGCAGGCGGGAAGACAAGUUGGAAGUGAAAUCCAUGGGCUCAACCCAUGAACUGCUUUCAAAACUGUUUUUCUUGAGUAGUGCAGAGGUAGGCGGAAUUCCCGGUGUAGCGGUGGAAUGCGUAGAUAUCGGGAGGAACACCAGCGGCGAAGGCGGCCUACUGGGCACCAACUGACGCUGAGGCUCGAAAGUGUGGGUAGCAAACAGGAUUAGAUACCCUGGUAGUCCACACUGUAAACGAUGAUUACAUAGGUGUUGGAGGAUUGACCCCUUCAGUGCCGCAGUAACACAAU
RNAcentral lists this ribosomal RNA (820 nucleotides) under uncultured bacterium. Its description in RNAcentral is "bacterial SSU rRNA". It matches the Rfam family "Bacterial small subunit ribosomal RNA", at positions 28 to 861 of the family's 1533-position model. The record is from RNAcentral.